CAGCUCGUAGAACAACACCUGCACCAGCUGGUCCAGGGUUUCCCUUUGAAGAACCAUCAAAAUUCAAGAAUGCAUGAAAGCUGCAUCUGGCGGGUACAUAUAGCAUCGGUUAAAGAGGUAUUCCAAGAAGAUUUACCAAAUAACAUAAAUAUAUUAAUACGUAAAAGAACAUGGAUGUUCAUAUGAUCGGAGUAAGACCUUUGACUGCUGGCAGAAACAAGGAAAACUAGUAUAUAGAACAUGUACAACCUUAUCCAUACCUCA
Molecule: long non-coding RNA, 264 nt
Filed under: Capsicum annuum
Lineage: Eukaryota; Viridiplantae; Streptophyta; Magnoliopsida; Solanales; Solanaceae
Description: long non-coding RNA (CANN_LNC003100)
Source: RNAcentral